ACGUGGCAGGACUCGGUCUUGCAAGAUUCACAGCCCAUCUACUACUCCCCCCUCCUCCUGCGUUUUCCACCUAAUUUACCGAGGGCAACAAGGGCAUUAGUCGUAUUCAAACGGUCCGUAUCACAAACGAGAAAGAAGCAAGUUUUUCUCGAGGGAGCCAUCGCUGGCCGUGGAGCCAGUCGUCUACCUCUGCCUUCCUCUCCUCUUCUAACUAGUAAUACGCAAUGAGCUCUGCAGAGAUGUUGCUGGAUGCAGCUUCGCUAACACCCUCUCUCUCCCAACUUCUCGCCGUCGACUCCGUUUCUAGCGUGCUUGCGUACCUUGUGCAAGGCGCCAUCAUCGAUGACCCCGAUGCACGGUUGCAGGCACUCAGUGAGGUUUUAGCUCACGUCAGCACGUCGCCGAAAAGUGACAGUGCUGUUUCUGCAAAUGGCGUCGGCGCUGACGGCACCAGCCCCUCUUCCGCCACGUACACGCGCGUGCAUGGCGCAAGGUGGAAGUGGGCAGAUGUGGUUAUGCGCGGGGUAACCGACCCGUGGUCGCGCAUCCGAUCUCUGGCUGCACCGGUGAUGGCCGACCUACUAGACGCGGAGGUCGAGCUGGUGCUGCAGCGCCACGACAGUAGCUUCAGCACCUACCUCAGGUCAUCCAACAGUACGCCACGCUCCUCCUCGGUCGCGAGGACGACACCACGUAGCGCAAAGAAGGACUGGAAGGACGAGCUGACCGCAACGGAGUCUUCGUUGCUGGAGAGCGUGUCGGCGCCGCUCGAAUACGUGUGGCACCGGUGGCGGGGCAUGUCGCUCUGGUACGAGCAAGACGGCAUUGUACGUAUGCUGGCGAAGCUGUACAGCCGCAGCGGCACCCCUUCCGGAGACGCCCUGCGCACAGACGAGGCGGGGCUGCGCUGUCUGCUCUUUAAUGUCAUCUUUCCUGCGCUGCGCAACCCACAGCUGCCCGUGCGGGAGUCUGCAGCGCUUCUGCUGGGCAUUCUCGCUGACCGGCGGAGCUCCACCUCCCUCUCCCCGGCCAUCACUUCCUUCGUCGUAGACCACGUGUGCCGCACUAUUAUGCAGGCGCCGACGCCAGCCCGGAGACACUCACCCGAGACCUUGGUUUCCGUAGAGGACACGCGCGUCUUGGAGGGCAACCUACUCGCUCUGAACAAGCUAGUGGAUGCCGACGCUAUCCGUGUAGAAGACGCCGACGUGAUGCCGCUUCUGCUGCGGUUGUCGAACUACCCGGCGUCGAGUGUUCGCCAAUACGUGGCUCAGAUUCUUCGGCCGCCCUCCCUGUGUGUAUUUACCUACCUGAUGCAGCGGCUGUGUGAGCACCAAAACUGCAUGCCGCAGCACGCCGAAGGUGACGGAGACAGCAGUAGCAGCGUCCCAGGCGGUGGCGAGAACGAUGACAGCGAUGGGCUCAGCUGGCAGCGUCUUGAGACGCUGAUGAUGGCCCUACAGCAGCACCUUCUGUACCUGCAUACCACGUCGGCGACGAUGCAAGACCUGUUUCACGUGAGCUCCGAUACGAAAGGUAUCCUGACUCCCGUCGUGUUCGCGACGUCGCUGUCGGUGGUGUUUCAGGCGACGCACUCGCCUCGCUUCGAGGUGGCGCGGAUGGGACUACAGCUGUUCCCUUUGCUGCUGCAGCUCAGCCUCCGCUUCUGCCCGCCCGUUGCGCUGCCGCGCGUCUGCGAGGCGUGCUGCGGCUCUGACGGAUGCGUGCAGGCAGAGCUGAAUAGGAUCGCCGCGUGCGGGGCCGUCGAGACCUUGGCGAAGGCGCAAACGUACGUGGCCACGUUCGUGGUGCCGGUGAUGUGGUGGUUUCUGACGAUCCGGCGGUUGGUGGCGGAGGUGAGGGAAAAGAUGACGCCGUCGCCGACGACGGGGGCGCCGGGCGAGACGCGCGCGCAGGUAGAAGAUUUAGUUCGACCGUACGCCACCUUGGAGCAGAUCCUGUUCGCGUCUCAGGCACACCUCAGCGGAAAGGCGAGCAGCAGCGCGGCGUUGCCGCGGCACACGGCAACGUGUGCGCUGCUGCCUCUGGUGACGUACUUUGCGACGGUUAUGGACCCGGAGGAGUGGCACCGGUGCGUCAACGAGCUGCUGGCGCCGAGCUGGUGGGCCGGGCUGCUCGCCGAUCCGGCGCGGCAGGAACAGGCGCGCGUCGGGCCAGACUUCGUGCGCGCGGUGCACAGGCGCGGCACGAGCGAUGAAGUACGGCGCGUCGUCGAACUUGUGCCGACGCUCACGGCGGCCCUGGCCGACGCGCCGACGCAUCAGCAGUGCCUCCUUGUGGCGAUGAUCCGGGUGGCAGUGGUGGCACACACGGCGCGCACCGUCGUGGUGGAGGAGCACGCGCUGUCUUUUCUCUACCACGAGGCAUACGCGGCGCCAGCGCUCGUCGAAGGCGGCGAUGCGGUGUCACUUGGCCACGUGUGGCUAAAGCACUUUAUGCCGACGCAAGAAGCCAUCCCGGCAGCGGCGCUGUGGGGCGAGUCAUCGCAAUCGAGGGAUGGGUCGAUCGUUCUUGUCGAAAGUAACUCGACCGUCUUUCAGGCUAUCGAGAAGAGGUGCUACCAGGAGCUGUACCAGUCCCCUCAGACGGAGCCGGUGGUGCUGCGCGAGCUACGAUCGCUCAUGAUGAGCCUGUCGCACCCGAGCAUGAGCGUGCCGAGCGGGGAGCACGUGUACUGGUACGCCGCCGCCCUCGCCGCGGUCUUCGGGCGUCUGGAGAAGGUAUGCCCGCAGUGGCGGGAGACGGACACGGCGGCGACGGCGGCAGCGACAGCAGUCUUCAGCGGCUGCGAGGACGACAACGAGUGCUGGGACGACUGGGACGACGACGAGGACGGCGCCGCACAAGGCAUCUACGCGGCUGAGGAGGUGCGGAACGCAAGGGCGGUGGUUUUGGUGCUGCGCGAGCGCGCGGCGGCGUGGAUGGAGGCGCGCGACAUGGCGGCUGCCGAGCAUCGCUUUCGCCCCGAGUUCGCCGUCCUCACGGCUCUCUGAACGCCGAAAAGGAAGAGGGCUUCGUGGCUGCGUUGUGUGUGUGUGUGUGGCUCUUGUUUGAUCGAUGUCAGAUGAGGGUAUUUAUCCCACUGUGACUGUGCUCACCACCCAGCCCACAUAGGCGCUGUCAACAAAGAAAAAUGCCGAACGAUCGACGUGUUCGCCACACCUUCCCGGCAUGCGAGGUGAUUGCACGUCGUGGCGCUUUGAUCUUCAUCCUAGCUCCUUUCAAUUCUCCUCCCGUUUUCUCCUCACGCAAAUAG
This 3277-nucleotide unclassified non-coding RNA is filed under the name Leishmania donovani. RNAcentral describes it as "gene:LdHU3.36.3660(CDS-product:hypothetical_prote in_conserved)". Lineage: Eukaryota; Euglenozoa; Kinetoplastea; Trypanosomatida; Trypanosomatidae. The record is from RNAcentral.